This 375-nucleotide long non-coding RNA is filed under the name Ictidomys tridecemlineatus (thirteen-lined ground squirrel). RNAcentral describes it as "lncRNA (ENSSTOG00000033261.1)". Lineage: Eukaryota; Metazoa; Chordata; Mammalia; Rodentia; Sciuridae. The record is from RNAcentral.
GUGCCUUGAUCUCCAUCUCUUCUGGAAGGAGGUAACAGCAAGCUUCUCGGCCCCCUGACUCUGAAGGAAUAGUGAAGUCUGUGGAUAUGAUGGAUUGGAAACAGCUGAAGAGGGCUGUUGGCCCUGGGUGCCCCUCCUGGUCUGGCAUGGAGCUCUCUGUCCGUCCAUGGGGGAGCAGUGGCUGGUCACCCUGCCCACUAAGCCCCUUCUGCUCCAUGGUGCAGGCCUACUUGAGUCCUUCUAUCUCUUAAGGGCUGUCCUCGUCCCUGUUCCCCUGCUUGGGCUCCAGGAGAAACUGGAAUUCAUGUUCACAAGGACGCCAGCCUGUGGGUGAUGUGUCCUCAGAUCCAGUCCUCGCCCUGCCCAUGUCCAUUA